RNAcentral lists this ribosomal RNA (459 nucleotides) under uncultured bacterium. RNAcentral's name for it is "partial 16S ribosomal RNA". It matches the Rfam family "Bacterial small subunit ribosomal RNA", at positions 338 to 795 of the family's 1533-position model. The record is from RNAcentral.
CCUACGGGCGGCUGCAGUGAGGAAUAUUGGGCAAUGGCCGAGAGGCUGAACCAGCCAAGUCGCGUGGGGGAUGACGGCCCUACGGGUUGUAAACCUCUUUUGUCGGGGAGCAAAGAGAGUCACGUGUGGCUCAUUGAGAGUACCCGAAGACAAAGCAUCGGCUAACUCCGUGCCAGCAUCCGCGGUGAUACGGAGGAUGCGAGCGUUAUACGGAUUUAUUGGGGGAAAAGGGUGCGCAGGCGGAGGUGCAAGUCAGUGGUCAAAUUGCGGGGCUCAACCCCGUACUGCCGUUGAAACUGCAUCCCUUGAGUGCGCGAGAAGUAUGCGGAAUGCGUGGUGUAGCGGUGAAAUGCAUAGAUAUCACGCAGAACUCCGAUUGCGAAGGCAGCAUACCGGCGCGCAACUGACGCUCAUGCACGAAAGCGUGGGUAUCGAACAGGAUUAGAUACCCCAGUAGUC